This 301-nucleotide ribosomal RNA is filed under the name uncultured bacterium. RNAcentral describes it as "partial 16S ribosomal RNA". It matches the Rfam family "Bacterial small subunit ribosomal RNA", at positions 509 to 807 of the family's 1533-position model. The record is from RNAcentral.
CAGUAGCCGCGGUAAUACGAAGGGUGCAAGCGUUAAUCGGAAUUACUGGGCGUAAAGCGUGCGUAGGCGGUGGUUUAAGUCCGUUGUGAAAGCCCUGGGCUCAACCUGGGAAUUGCAGUGGAUACUGGAUCACUAGAGUGUGGUAGAGGAUAGUGGAAUUUCCGGUGUAGCAGUGAAAUGCGUAGGGAUCGGAAGGAACAUCUGUGGCGAAGGCGACUAUCUGGGCCAACACUGACACUGAGGCACGAAAGCGUGGGGAGCAAACAGGAUUAGAUACCCCGGUAGUCCCUGUCUCUUAUAC